CAGAGCAUAUUGGAGGGGACAGGAACUAGGGCAGGGCAGAAAUGAUUAGAUACAACGAAACAUGAGUUCAUUUUCAAGUCCUACUCCUGUCCUGACUGUUUGCUCUUUGAAGAGUCACUGAGCUUCCUGGUACCUCAGUUUCCUUGUAUCUAAAAGGGGGAGAACAAAUUUUCUUCACAGGGAGCCCUGUGAAGAUUAAAAUAAGAUGAUGGAUGGAAGGUGCCUGGUACAUGGAAGGGGCCGUGAGCCAAGGGAUGCUGAUGGCUUCGGAAAGGUGAGGAAAGGGAUCAGACCCUAGAGCCCUCAUGGAGUCAUGCAGCCCUGUGCUGGACUUCUGACCUCCAAAACAGUAAGGAGAGCUGCAUUUCUCCUGGAACCCCGGGAAGAAUGCCCCCCUGCCCCGAGCACUCAGAGACCACACAGCAGAUCUCCCUGACACCUGCUUUUCUCAUAGCCCUUGUACUUCUCGAGACCACAAGAAGGGCACACAGCAGGAAACUGCUUAGCAACUGCACGUAGGAAAUGAGGAUUCCAAAAUAUUACUGUGGGAAGAAAGCACUUCCCCUGCUCCAGAAUGGGGCCAGUCCCUGGAGGUCGGUAUGGCAUGGAGGGUCUCCAUCAGGAGCACUUGAUCUAGCAGCAGAAAAGAAAGCAGAUGCCCACCGCUGCCCAUCCUGAGGUCCCUGACAGAGAAAAGCCCAGAGGAAGGAAAAAGCAGUUUCAGAAGAAAGCAACUUCCCUGUGGAAAUGACCCUGGAGCUGGAACCUAGAUGAUGAGCCUUCCCAGGGAGAAGGCAAGAAGGAGAGAAGAGUGUUCUGUGCCCUUUCUGCAUCCCCUCCAUGCCUUCCUCAACUUCCUCAAACUCCUCUCCCAUAGUUUCUUCCCCAUAAACUACCAGGUGUGCUAAAA
This is a long non-coding RNA of Neogale vison (American mink), 910 nucleotides long. RefSeq lists it as uncharacterized. The record is from RefSeq and is a predicted model, not a curated record. The transcript is spliced from 4 exons. NCBI's taxonomy places the organism in Eukaryota, Metazoa, Chordata, Mammalia, Carnivora, Mustelidae.